AUUUGUGGUAGGAAGACACGAUAGCAGAUGCAGAUGUCACAGGGCUGGGAUGGCUUUGCUGUAAGAAAUGAAUACCUACCUAACAAGCCUGGCGUUGAUUUCCAGAAGAUAGAGAAUACCCUAGUAGCUACAGAAAGAAGACAACAGUGGAAAAGUUUAAAAAGAAAAUAUGAAAGACGGCUGCUGUUACACCACGCCAUGUCCCUACAGGCAAGCUAAGAACAGAGCUGAUGCGAUCGCAGAGACGUCACCCCCAUUAACGCUGAGGACGCCAGCUACCCCUGACUAAGCCUUGCAAAACUCUCCAUUAAAAUGUGCUUGCUAAACCACCUGCCCAAAUUUCUCAACAAACCUGUGGGUUCUUUUCCUUGUCAAUGACUUUUCCCUACGGAGGUGACAACACCUGGCAGAGGCGUCAGAGACCAUCAGCCU
Jaculus jaculus (lesser Egyptian jerboa) is the source of this 432-nucleotide long non-coding RNA. RefSeq lists it as uncharacterized. The record is from RefSeq and is a predicted model, not a curated record. NCBI's taxonomy places the organism in Eukaryota, Metazoa, Chordata, Mammalia, Rodentia, Dipodidae. The transcript is spliced from 3 exons.